GGGGAUAUAGCUCAGUGGCACAAGUGCUUGCCUGGCAAGUGUAAGGCCCUGAGGUUGAUUCUUAGUAUCCCCC
Molecule: transfer RNA, 73 nt
Filed under: Cavia porcellus (domestic guinea pig)
Lineage: Eukaryota; Metazoa; Chordata; Mammalia; Rodentia; Caviidae
Rfam family: tRNA
About the family: Transfer RNA (tRNA) molecules are approximately 80 nucleotides in length. Their secondary structure includes four short double-helical elements and three loops (D, anti-codon, and T loops).
Source: Rfam by way of RNAcentral